This 116-nucleotide ribosomal RNA is filed under the name Pantoea agglomerans. Its description in RNAcentral is "partial 16S ribosomal RNA". It matches the Rfam family "Bacterial small subunit ribosomal RNA", at positions 1418 to 1533 of the family's 1533-position model. RNAcentral also lists the same sequence under 25 other names. The record is from RNAcentral. Lineage: Bacteria; Pseudomonadati; Pseudomonadota; Gammaproteobacteria; Enterobacterales; Erwiniaceae.
CAAAAGAAGUAGGUAGCUUAACCUUCGGGAGGGCGCUUACCACUUUGUGAUUCAUGACUGGGGUGAAGUCGUAACAAGGUAACCGUAGGGGAACCUGCGGUUGGAUCACCUCCUUA